GUGUUUCAUGAAAGGUUAGCACUCCCCUUAUAAGGAUGGAAGAGGCCCUGAUGGCCUAUACAACAUGUGUAGGGUUAAGACACUGCCACCUACUUCAUGGCAUCUAUGUUUAA
Molecule: small nuclear RNA, 113 nt
Organism: Manacus vitellinus (golden-collared manakin)
Lineage: Eukaryota; Metazoa; Chordata; Aves; Passeriformes; Pipridae
Source: Ensembl